This 440-nucleotide ribosomal RNA is filed under the name uncultured Oribacterium sp. Its description in RNAcentral is "bacterial SSU rRNA". It matches the Rfam family "Bacterial small subunit ribosomal RNA", at positions 338 to 795 of the family's 1533-position model. The record is from RNAcentral. Lineage: Bacteria; Bacillati; Bacillota; Clostridia; Lachnospirales; Lachnospiraceae.
CCUACGGGAGGCAGCAGUGGGGGAUAUUGCACAAUGGAGGGAACUCUGAUGCAGCAACGCCGCGUGAGUGAAGAAGUAUUUCGGUAUGUAAAGCUCUAUCAGCAGGGAAGAUGAUGACAGUACCUGAAUAAGAAGCCCCGGCUAACUACGUGCCAGCAGCCGCGGUAAUACGUAGGGGGCAAGCGUUAUCCGGAUUUACUGGGUGUAAAGGGAGCGUAGACGGCGAAGCAAGUCUGAAGUGAAAAUCCGGGGCUCAACUCCGGAAGUGCUUUGGAAACUGUUUUGAUAGAGUGUCGGAGAGGUAAGUGGAAUUCCUGGUGUAGCGGUGAAAUGCGUAGAUAUCAGGAAGAACACCGGAGGCGAAGGCGGCUUACUGGACGAUAACUGACGUUGAGGCUCGAAAGCGUGGGAAGCAAACAGGAUUAGAUACCCGGGUAGUC